GCUAGGAUUGGGUGACAUUUGUUAUGUCUCACAGGCUGGCUUUGCCCACUGGCAAAUUUUCUGGUUAUUACAUAUGAGUUUGGAAGAGAAAGCUGACCUCCAAAAUUACCUGUUGCUAAAUGACUGAUGAAGAAAAAGCAGAACAGGAGACUAAAGAGUGCCUAAUAGAGAAGUUUAUAUUUUCUGGGUAUCUGGAUUAUGUCUUCUGGCAAAUAUAUACAAGUCCUUCACUUAGAAACCUCCAUGGGCAGAAGUGCAAUAGUUGAAUGACAAAUGGUUCUAUUGCUUUGAGCAGUCAAUAUAAAACUCUUUAUAUUCACUACCAAUAAACCAGCUAACUUAUUCCUUCAUAUUUUUUAGUAAAAGCCUUUCCCAUAAGCAGAAGCAGGUUGGCUGAAAGUGCAAUCCUAACCACAUCUACUCAGAAGUAAGGCCUACUACAGCAUAAAGAUUGCAACCUUAAUACAGUGGUACCUCAGGUUACAGACGCUUUAGGUUACAGAUGCUUCAGGUUACAGACUCCAUUAACCCAGAGAUAGUACCUCGGGUUAAGAACUUUGCUUCAGGAUGAGAACAGAAAUUGUGCGGUUGCGGCGGGAGACCCCAUUAGGUGAAGUGGUACCUCAGGUUAAGAACAGUUUCAGAUUAAGAACCGACCUCCGGAAUGAAUUAAGUUCUUAACCCGAGGUACCACUGUAUAGGAGCUUGGCUUUAAGACGAGCCAAUGUUUAUUGUGACAUGAACCCAGGCUAGAAAAUGUGACAGCAGCCAACCCCUUCUGAAGGAACACUUUCCCCAGUUUUAUUAGGUGCCAAUCAGAGGCACCAGGUUCCACACAACAUGGGGGCGGGCUUGUCACAUGCGUGUGAUGUUGCAUGUGGGACAUCACACAAGUUGGGAAGACGCUGUGAGGCCUGGGGAGGCCCUCAGCCACCACAGGUAAGUCUGGCAGGGUCUUCUGCUGCUGCAGGGAGGCCCAGCAGGGCCUAGUCCCUCAAGAUUGGGCCGGGGGCUCAGCCUGACAAUGCAUAUUGGGGGGGGUUGGCACGUACAGUGGUACCUCUGGUUAAGAAAUUAAUUCGUUCUGGAGGUCCGUUCUUAACCUGAAACUGCUCUUAACCUGAAUCACCACUUUAGCUAAUGGGGCCUCCCGCUGCUGCUGGCCCGCCGCCACACGAUUUCUGUUCCCAUCCUGAAGUAAAGUUCUUAACCCGAGGUACUAUUUCUGGGUUAGCGGAGUCUGUAACCUGAAGCGUCUGUAAGCUGAGGUACCACUGUAACUGCAAAACAACAGUGCUUAUUAAGUCUCCCCAAUAUCUUUGCAAGGGAGGAGGGUGGGAAGAAAACUGAAACUUGACCACGUCUCCAUAAUCUCUUAGUAGCUCUAGGGAGCACCAGCCCCCACUAGUAGCAGCUUUUUCUUUGUGGUGCCAUCCCAUACAGCUGUCCUAUGUGCAAGAACACCAGCACCACGUGGGUAGGGUCACUUGUGUAGGUCUUUUCCACCUGGUCAUUACCUCCUUGAUUGGUCCAGCCUACAUAAUUCCAGUACUCACUGAUUCAUGUAGGAAUGCAUUGCAUGGAGAUGCCCCAGCUGCUGUGGUUGGGUGAGAUGGGGGCCUGGUGUCAGGGACUGGGCAGAGGAGGAAGGGGAAGACCUCCUCCCCAGCCUGACCCUUCCAGAGAAGAAGAAGACAGUUCAGAAUUAGAGCAGGGGUUUGAGGGAGAUCACAGCUCAGAGGCAGAUGAGGGGGAAAGAUGGGAAAUAAUGGGAGAGAAGGAAGAAGAAGAGAGGGGACAGCUGAUGGAUUCAUUGUCUUUAGAAAGCAUUUCAGAUUCCCCCCUCUCCCAGAACCCGGUGAGCAUUGAAAGUAGGAGAGCAGAGAUCUCAGAGGCAAAGGACACAUCUCAGCACCCAUAGUGAUGAUGUAUAAUGGAAGGGAGGGAGGAGGUGGAGACUCACUUGGAGCAAUACCUUUAUUCUGAGAGGCCACAUUCCCUAGCCUCUCUCUGUGAAUAUUGAAUAAAAGCAGAUGGUAAGUGGUAGUUUCUGUUUGCCACUGUGCAGCUGCUGAGAGUCACAAGUCUCUGUUUACAUUCCAGAGACAUUCCAGGCUGUUGGAAGUCUCACGGGAGACGGGAGACGGAUGUGACGUACUGGUUUCCUGUUCCUUUGUUUGUUUCAGUUGCUCUCUGCUCUCACAGAGAGAGGAUGUAUUUUCUGUCUGUGUAGUAAGAAAUAAAGCAUAGCGAUGUAGACAUAAAUCUCAUCACUUCUGCGUGCUGCUUUGGUUCUCUGCUGAAUGGGGGAUGUGCCUGGAGCCUUAUCCAGGCACAGGUUGUCAAUCACAGUGUAGGCAAUUCUGGAGGACUCAGCCAGAGGAGGAUGAGCUUUAUCAGCUUGGCCAAGCGCAGGUUCCGACAGUAAGGACUUUCCCUUGUCUUGUCCAUUCCUGGCAACCUGCCGUGGGGGUUGGUUCCUCUGCUGCCUGACACCUGGUUGCCUUGUGACACACAUACCUUUGACAAAAUCUGCUAGUCUACCGACGAAAGAAGAAUGGCGGAUGAAAUUAAUGGACUAUGCAGAAUUAGAUAAAUUAACAGGAAGGAUUUGAAACCUGCAGGACCAGAUUGGAGUAAAUAUAUGAACUAUUUGAAAAGCAGUUGUAAUGAAAAGAUUAUGCUUGUAGGACUGCAAGAUGUUCUGUAAGGAGGACUAUUUGAAACAUUGCAAGAAAGACUAUGAGGAGAAUUAUUAGUUAAUGAUAAUUAAAAGUACAGUGGUACCUGAGGUUACAUACGCUUCAGGUUACAUACGCUUCAGGUUACAGAUUCCGCUAACCCAGAAAUAGUACCUCGGGUUAAGAACUUUGCUUCAGGAUGAGAACAGAAAUCGUGCUCCGCCAGCGCAGUGGCAGCGGGAGGCCCCAUUAGCUAAAGUGGUGCUUCAGGUUAAGAACAGUUUCAGGUGAAGAACAGACCUCUGGAACGAAUUAAGUUCUUAUCCCGAGGUAAUAGAGAAAUUAAGAAAUACAGAAUAGGUGAUAAAGAACGGAAAAUCAUCAGAGGUUGUUGACCGAAGUCUAAAAUAUUGUAUAAGAUAAGUAGUUAUGUUAAAUGAUUGUUGGAAAUGAUAUGUUAAAAAACCAAUAAAAAUGUAUUUUUAAAAAGGGAGAAAAUUUGCUAGUCAUAUCAAAAGAACUCCCCCUGAAGUGCCUUCAGGUGUGCACUGGGCAGAGGAGGAAUGGUAGAGACUGAACAGAACUCUCCAAAUUCACUUUGAAUGUGGACUGCUGGCAACUGUAAUGUCACAUCUUCUUGCCAUUUCCAACUGAUGCUGUCUCUCCAUAUCCUUGAACCUCAUCUCUCAAACUUGAAGAAUCUCUGAAACCUCUUACACCUCACCUACGAUACUAGCCAAGCACUGUGCAGGAGUGGAAUGGGUCUGUGUGUGUUGCAAAAUAAAACAUCAUUUAUCCUGCCUUUGUCUUAAGGUAAAGGUAAAGGGACCCCUGACCAUUAGGUCCAGUCGUGGCCGACUCUGGGGUUGCGGCACUCAUCUUGCUUUAUUGGCCGAGGGAGCGGUGUACAGCUUCCGGGUCAUGUGGCCAGCAUGACUAAGCCGCUUCUGGCGAAACCAGAGCAGCGCACGGAAACGCCGUUUACCUUCCCGCUGCCUUUGUCUUAGUUAUCACAUUUUUAAUUACCAUAACAUUUUGACUUCUUAGCUCCAAUCAUAAUUGGAUCGUGCAAUAAAAAUAAUGUGUUUGGUUUUUGAUGUUGUGAUAUUGCUCCCCACUUGGAAGGCUGCUUCACUCCCAGAGAAAAUAUCUUGGAAUGAAUAAUUACUAGGUGUCUGUUCCCUAAUGAAGAUGAAUGCCACAUCAUAUCACACAGUCCUCGUGUGAUUCAGUGGCAGAGGCUAGCAUUCUUCUCUGUUUUGAUUAACACAAGGAUUAUCCAGGUAGGUAUCGACCGCAGCCCAAUUAAACAGACAUGUUGACUCAUGAGUUAAACAGCCAGCUGCCUUUGGUUUUGCUACUCAUCUGGUUAGCCUUCCAAAUAGUUAAGUCACGUGAAUCACAUCAGACAAAUCACUACAUUGAGUCUAGAACUAGAUACAAGGUGAAUCUUGGAGCCUGGGCACAGUGGCAUAGCAGGGGUUGCCAGUGCCCGGGGCCGUGUGGAUGGGGUGGGAGGGAAGGAGUAUGCAUGCUCAUUCAGCUGCGUCACCCAAGAGAUUGCAGCCACAGAGAUACAAAAGAAGAGUCAUUCUGUUGUCUGGAGAGGUCACUUCCUGGUUCGCAUGGAGAUGCAGUUUUCAACAGAGCCAUGUGACAGAAGCAUGCAGCUGUACUGAUGCAAUGCUGGGUGUAGAAAAUUUGCGUCCCCAACCAGGGAUUUUUUUUUUUUUUAAUUGCCACUGCUUUUAGUAUGUGUUUAGUAUUUUUAUUUGCUGCCAUUGCUCUGGCUGCUGGUAAGGCGAUCUGGCUAGCAAACUGGUCCCAAGCUGUUAAGGCCUUUUCAUCCUGUACUUGCUCCCAUCUGACUUGCAAAAAGUCUUAAUUUUACUCCUUCAUCACUACUCAAAUGCAGGAGAUCCCAGAAGGCAGAGCCCAACAUACAACAGAACUGUAUUCAUAUUGACGCAUUUCCUCUUACUCUUGCCUGCAUGAUGCCAGAGUUGAGUCUGGUACGAGAAACAGAAAGGUGGGCUAUUUGACCAACUAUUUAUUUAGAUGCCAAUAUGUAUACAGGUGUAGGGACAUGGGUGGCGCUGUGGGUUAAACCACAGAGCCUAGGACUUGCCGAUCAGAAGGUCGGCAGUUCAAAUCCCUGAGACGGGGUGAGCUCCAGUUGCUCGGUCCCUGCUCCUGCCAACCUAGCAAUUCGAAAGCACGUCAAAGUGCAGGUAGAUAAAUAGGUACCACUCUGGCGGGAAGGUAAACGGUGUUUUCGUGCGCUGCUCUGGUUCGCCAGAAGCAGCUUAGUCAUGCUGGCCACAUGACCCGGAAGCUAUAUGCCGGCUCCUUCAGCCAAUAAAGCGGGAUGAGCACCGCAACCCCAGAGUCGGCCACGACUGGACCUAAUGGUCAGGGGUCCCUUUACCUUUACCUAUGUAUACAGGUGUACCUUGGAAGUCGAACAGAAUCCAUUCUGGAAGUCUGUUCGACUUCCAAAAUGUUCAACUUCCAAGGCGCAGCUUCCGAUUGGCUGCAGGAGCGUCCUGUAGCCAAUCGGAAGCUGCAGAAGCUGUCCCGGACGUUCGGCUUCCAAAAAUCAUUAAAAAAAUGGAACAAUCUUUUCCAGUUUUCGAUCAUUCAGGAGCCAAAAUGUUCCGAGUUUACAGAUGUUCGGCUUCCGAAGUUCCACUGUAUUCUAAAGCUCAGCCUUUCUGGACCACGAGUCUGCUGCUCUGAAGUGGAAAGUCCAAUUAGAGCAGGGGUAGGCAACCUAAGACCCGCGGGCCGGAUGCAGCCCAAUCGCCUUCUAAAUCCGGCCUGUGGACGGUCUGGGAAUCAGCGUGUUUUUAUUUGUGCCCUUUUAUUUAAAAUGCAUCUCUGGGUUAUUUGUGGGCCCUGCCUGGUGUUUUUUACAUGAGUAGAAUGUGUGCUUUUAUUUAAAAUGCAUCUCUGGGGCAUAGGAAUUUGUUCAUUCCCCCCCCCCCCAAAAAAUAUAGUCCGGCCCCCCCACAUGGUCUGAGGGAUGGUGGACCAGCCCAUGGCUGAAAAAGGUUGCCGACCCCUGAAUUAGAGGGAAAGAAAGUACCUCUGUUUCUCAUUCCCCCUUAUCACUGCAAGCUACAGUAUAUGGCGGUCUCAGCCUUCUGAAUAUAUGAGGGCAGACCUUCAGCUCAGACAAUAAACUCUGCAGUUCAGCCUCUAAGCAGCAGAAGCAGCUGUUGCCCCAAAGGCUAAAUGUUAACUUUGCACCAUCAUCGCUGAGUGCUGUCUGUUCAUGAAAAUAUUGACAUAGGUUUGAUUUGUUUGUAUCCAAUGCGCUUCUUACAAAAAAAAAAAUUAAAAUCCACAAAUCUGCUCUCAUUUUUCUCUUUUGUCACAUCUUUCUGUUAUAUGAGCCAAUGCAGACUUGAACAUUUCAACUGUAACUUGAUGGCAAAGUUAUCGUCGCAUAUUUCUUAGGAGUGGAUGUUGGCAACAAGAAGAAAUUCCGAUGAAAGAGGAACGGCAGAUGAAAUUAAUGGACUAUGCAGAAUUGGACAAAAUGACAGGAUGGAUUCGAAACCUGCGGGACCAGAGAUUUACAGAAGAUUGGAAGAAGUAUAUGAAUUAUUUGAAGAGCAACUGUAAUCAACAAAUUACGCUAGUAGGACUACUAUAAGUUUUGUAAGGAGAACUAUACGAAGUGUUACAAAGUAGAAAAAGAUAGAGAUAUUGAUUAUGAGUUUGAAAUGUAAUAGGGAAGAUAAGAAAUGCAUACUGAGAGGUUAGAUUGGAAAAUUUUCAGACAGGAUUGAUGGAAG
Molecule: non-coding RNA, 6484 nt
Organism: Podarcis lilfordi (Lilford's wall lizard)
Lineage: Eukaryota; Metazoa; Chordata; Lepidosauria; Squamata; Lacertidae
Source: the annotation of a GenBank genome assembly